This 1175-nucleotide ribosomal RNA is filed under the name Escherichia coli. RNAcentral describes it as "partial 23S ribosomal RNA". It matches the Rfam family "Bacterial large subunit ribosomal RNA", at positions 21 to 1238 of the family's 2925-position model. The record is from RNAcentral. Lineage: Bacteria; Pseudomonadati; Pseudomonadota; Gammaproteobacteria; Enterobacterales; Enterobacteriaceae.
ACGGUGGAUGCCCUGGCAGUCAGAGGCGAUGAAGGACGUGCUAAUCUGCGAUAAGCGUCGGUGAGGUGAUAUGAACCGUUAUAACCGGCGAUUUCCGAAUGGGGAAACCCAGUGUGUUUCGACACACUAUCAUUAACUGAAUCCAUAGGUUAAUGAGGCGAACCGGGGGAACUGAAACAUCUAAGUACCCCGAGGAAAAGAAAUCAACCGAGAUUCCCCCAGUAGCGGCGAGCGAACGGGGAGGAGCCCAGAGCCUGAAUCAGUGUGUGUGUUAGUGGAAGCGUCUGGAAAGGCGCGCGAUACAGGGUGACAGCCCCGUACACAAAAAUGCACAUAUUGUGAGCUCGAUGAGUAGGGCGGGACACGUGGUAUCCUGUCUGAAUAUGGGGGGACCAUCCUCCAAGGCUAAAUACUCCUGACUGACCGAUAGUGAACCAGUACCGUGAGGGAAAGGCGAAAAGAACCCCGGCGAGGGGAGUGAAAAAGAACCUGAAACCGUGUACGUACAAGCAGUGGGAGCCUCUUAAUGGGGUGACUGCGUACCUUUUGUAUAAUGGGUCAGCGACUUAUAUUCUGUAGCAAGGUUAACCGAAUAGGGGAGCCGAAGGGAAACCGAGUCUUAACUGGGCGUUAAGUUGCAGGGUAUAGACCCGAAACCCGGUGAUCUAGCCAUGGGCAGGUUGAAGGUUGGGUAACACUAACUGGAGGACCGAACCGACUAAUGUUGAAAAAUUAGCGGAUGACUUGUGGCUGGGGGUGAAAGGCCAAUCAAACCGGGAGAUAGCUGGUUCUCCCCGAAAGCUAUUUAGGUAGCGCCUCGUGAAUUCAUCUCCGGGGGUAGAGCACUGUUUCGGCAAGGGGGUCAUCCCGACUUACCAACCCGAUGCAAACUGCGAAUACCGGAGAAUGUUAUCACGGGAGACACACGGCGGGUGCUAACGUCCGUCGUGAAGAGGGAAACAACCCAGACCGCCAGCUAAGGUCCCAAAGUCAUGGUUAAGUGGGAAACGAUGUGGGAAGGCCCAGACAGCCAGGAUGUUGGCUUAGAAGCAGCCAUCAUUUAAAGAAAGCGUAAUAGCUCACUGGUCGAGUCGGCCUGCGCGGAAGAUGUAACGGGGCUAAACCAUGCACCGAAGCUGCGGCAGCGACACUAUGUGUUGUUGGGUAGGGGAGCG